RNAcentral lists this ribosomal RNA (465 nucleotides) under uncultured bacterium. RNAcentral's name for it is "partial 16S ribosomal RNA". It matches the Rfam family "Bacterial small subunit ribosomal RNA", at positions 28 to 523 of the family's 1533-position model. The record is from RNAcentral.
GAUGAACGCUGGCGGCGUGCCUAACACAUGCAAGUCGAGCGAACCCUUCGGGGUGAGCGGCGGACGGGUGAGUAACGCGUGGGUAACCUGCCCUGUACACACGGAUAACAUACCGAAAGGUAUGCUAAUACGAGAUAAUAUAUUUUAAUCGCAUGGUUAAGAUAUCAAAGCUCCGGCGGUACAGGAUGGACCCGCGUCUGAUUAGCUAGUUGGUGAGGUAAUGGCUCACCAAGGCGACGAUCAGUAGCCGACCUGAGAGGGUGAUCGGCCACACUGGAACUGAGACACGGUCCAGACUCCUACGGGAGGCAGCAGUGGGAAUAUUGCACAAUGGGCGAAAGCCUGAUGCAGCAACGCCGCGUGAGCGAUGAAGGCCUUCGGGUCGUAAAGCUCUGUCCUCAAGGAAGAUAAUGACGGUACUUGAGGAGGAAGCCCCGGCUAACUACGUGCCAGCAGCAGCCGCCG